UUCUAACUGUAGGAAGUGAUAACUUUUAUGAUUCAGUGAGAUCCUCUGCAGACCCUGGAAAUGACACAGAUGACGCCCAAAAUGUCACCUACUCUCUGAUUGAAUUUAAAAACUCUGGACACAGGAAAGAGGGCGCUGUUUACUCUGAGGUUAACAGAACCUGUCCAGUGGAGCCGAGUCCUGCAGCAGCCGACGUUGCUUAUUCUGAAAAGUAAGAAGAAAUCUGUAUGAAGACACAACCAUGUAGGCCUCAGCUCUUAUUACAAAAACAUAAAAAAGAUACCAAAACUGUAAUCUUACCUACUGAAAUUAGAAACAUAUAUCAGUUUUGCAACAAUCUGAUCAACUAUUUUUCUAUCAUGUUCCAUAGUUUUUUUGAUUUUGCCCAAAAUUGACCAUUUGUAGAUGUAAAACAUUCAGUGAUGUUUUUGAGUUUUAUGCUACUCAGUGAUGAAUCUGUCCGUUGCCUUUUAGAUUACAGAUGAGCAUUAAAAGAAAUUCACAUCACUUC
Long non-coding RNA from Xiphophorus couchianus (Monterrey platyfish), 511 nucleotides. RefSeq lists it as uncharacterized. The transcript has 4 exons. The record is from RefSeq and is a predicted model, not a curated record. Lineage: Eukaryota; Metazoa; Chordata; Actinopteri; Cyprinodontiformes; Poeciliidae.